AGAGUUUGAUCCUGGCUCAGAAUCAACGCUGGCGGCGUGCCUAACACAUGCAAGUCGAACGCGAAAGUGGAGCAAUCCAUGAGUAGAGUGGCAAACGGGUGAGUAACACGUGGGUGACCUGCCUUCGAGUGGGGGAUAACUUUCCGAAAGGAAGGCUAAUACCGCAUGACAUACCGUGUUCAGAUACACGGAUAUCAAAGCUGGGGAUCGCAAGACCUGGCGCUUGAAGAGGGGCCCGCGUCCGAUUAGCUAGUUGGUGAGGUAACGGCUCACCAAGGCUCCGAUCGGUAUCCGGCCUGAGAGGGCGGACGGACACACUGGGACUGAGACACGGUCCAGACUCCUACGGGAGGCAGCAGUGGGGAAUUGUUCGCAAUGGGCGAAAGCCUGACGACGCAACGCCGCGUGGAGGAUGAAGAAUUUCGGUUCGUAAACUCCUUUCGACCGAGAUGAACAUCCCGCGAUCUAAUAAGUCGUGGGACUGACAGUAUCGAGAGAAGAAGCCCCGGCUAACUCUGUGCCAGCAGCCGCGGUAAUACAGGGGGGGCAAGCGUUGUUCGGAAUUACUGGGCGUAAAGGGUUCGUAGGUGGCCAACUAAGUCAGACGUGAAAUCCCUCAGCUUAACUGGGGAACUGCGUCUGAUACUGGUUGGCUUGAGUGCAGGAGAGGAAUGCGGAAUUCCAGGUGUAGCGGUGAAAUGCGUAGAUAUCUGGAGGAACACCGGCGGCGAAGGCGGCAUUCUGGACUGUAACUGACACUGAGGAACGAAAGCCAGGGGAGCAAACGGGAUUAGAUACCCCGGUAGUCCUGGCCCUAAACGAUGAAUGCUUGGUGUGGCGGGUAUCGAUCCCUGCCGUGCCGAAGUUAACGCAUUAAGCAUUCCGCCUGGGGAGUACGGUCGCAAGGCUGAAACUCAAGGAAUUGACGGG
RNAcentral lists this ribosomal RNA (930 nucleotides) under uncultured bacterium. Its description in RNAcentral is "bacterial SSU rRNA". It matches the Rfam family "Bacterial small subunit ribosomal RNA", at positions 8 to 917 of the family's 1533-position model. The record is from RNAcentral.